Molecule: long non-coding RNA, 317 nt
Filed under: Bos indicus x Bos taurus (hybrid cattle)
Lineage: Eukaryota; Metazoa; Chordata; Mammalia; Artiodactyla; Bovidae
Description: lncRNA (ENSBIXG00005008119.1)
Source: RNAcentral
CUUCAUCUCUGAGCACAAGGCCUGGAGAAGGAAGUGGCAACCCACUCCAGUAUCCUUGCCUGGAGAAUCCAUGGACAGAGGAGCCUGGUGGGCUACAGUCCAUGGGGUCUCAAGAAUCGGACACGACUGAGCAACUCAACCACCUCCAGCUGAGCACCAGGAAUCCUCAUCCACGAAGGAGACAGCAACCCCCACCGAUAACAAAGCUAAGGAAGUCAAACGUCGGUGUGGGAUUCUGUGAAGCAGCAAUGGCUGGACUCCUCGGGAUGCCCCCCGUGAGUUACCUGCAUUUACGGUCCUCCCCAGGGGGAGCCGGC